GCGCUUCAGCAGCACGUAUACUAAAAUUGGAACGAUACAGAGAAGAUUAGCAUGGCCCCUGAGCAAGGAUGACAUGCAAAUUCGUGAAGCGUUCCACAUUUUU
This 103-nucleotide small nuclear RNA is filed under the name Chinchilla lanigera (long-tailed chinchilla). The record is from RNAcentral. Lineage: Eukaryota; Metazoa; Chordata; Mammalia; Rodentia; Chinchillidae.